Molecule: non-coding RNA, 45 nt
Organism: Schistosoma haematobium
Lineage: Eukaryota; Metazoa; Platyhelminthes; Trematoda; Strigeidida; Schistosomatidae
Source: Rfam
AUCCGGCUGACGCGUCCCAGAUAGGACGAAACGCGCGUCAUGGGU